GGCUGGUCUGAAGGUAGCCAGUUAUCUCAGCUGGUCACAGUUGGUUACGAUUGCACUCCUUGUUCUACUCUUUCCUCCCUUCUCACUACUGGACUUAACUAUGUCUUAC
Colobus angolensis palliatus is the source of this 109-nucleotide unclassified non-coding RNA. It matches the Rfam family "Y RNA". From Rfam's summary of the family: Y RNAs are components of the Ro ribonucleoprotein particle (Ro RNP), in association with Ro60 and La proteins. The Y RNAs and Ro60 and La proteins are well conserved, but the function of the Ro RNP is not known. NCBI's taxonomy places the organism in Eukaryota, Metazoa, Chordata, Mammalia, Primates, Cercopithecidae. The record is from Ensembl.